CCCUGCCCUUAUCUCUCCCAUACCGCUGCCACCACCACUUUGUCUCCCUCCUCCGAUCCACCUCGCCGCCGGCCCUCCCCCUCCCCUCCUCCUACCUCGCAGCUCCGGAGGCUGCCAGAUCCACAUACUCCCUACCCACCCAUCCCUCUUGCGACCCAUCUCUCUCUUCACGCGGCUCUUCGCUGCUCAACGUGCGGCGGCUGAUUCAAGCAAUGUCCGGCAAAUAUCGCCACCGCGAAGCACAGCCCCAGGUCCCCUCGCAUUGCGGCGCCCUCCCAUCCGGCUAGAUCCGGCCCUCACGGCCACCAAAGCCUACCCGCGGCCCUCCCCCAUAGCUAGGGUUCGGGCGUCGGCUCCGGCGCCGGUGGCCAUGCCGUCCUCCUAUCGUCCGACGUGCAACCAACUGGCUGUAUAUCCCUUCUCUCUACAGGGAAAACAAAUCCCAGGUCAAAACUAAUCCUAACCAUACGUGCUGCCUACGACAUGGGUGACAUGAUGGAAGUAACCAAGUCCUCCAUUGUCCAGUCAUACGUGACUCAGUUCCUGUCUUCAGGUUUGGCCCCGUUAGAUCAGGUAAGAUGCUCAUGUCCCCAUUGAAGAAAAAUAAAUGUAUGUGUAAAAUCCUCUUAUCAAUUUGACCAUUACAUUUUUUAUUUUCUUUACUGAAAAAUACUGCUGCUUUGUGGAAUUUCUUCAUCUUAUAUUGUUCUCCCGUGUAAUUUGAACGGAUGAAGCAUAAAUAUACUAUUUCCGUUGUACAUCUUAACUUAGUAUAUGAUGGCUUGUUGUGCACAUGCUACAGCCACGAUAUGUAUAUGGUUCCUUAUGUAUUGCUACGUUGGCUUUGAAACUGAGCAGAAUUAUUUCUUUUGUUGUUUAAUGGUUAGUUAUUGAUUUAUAUUUUGAAGAUUCUCCUCCUGUUUCCCGUCCGAAAUAAAAGUUGAUCUUCAAGUUUUCUUAGUCACACAUAUGAUUAUUAUGUACGACUGUAGCAUCAGCAAGGUCUUUUUAAUUAUUACCAAGUGAUGAAUAUUUGAACCACUAUUUGGCGGUAAGUUAGAAGCUUUCCCUUGCUUUCCGAAAAUGAUAUAGGUACUUCUAUUACAGCUCGGAGCUGAUGUAGUGUUAUCUCAGUACAGUGUCCAAUAUAAAUUUUGUUCUGUAUUCCUAUCCACUUCUAGUCAAAAUAAUCACGGUUGUAUUAUCUUUUUGACUGCCUUUUUGUCAACAUGGUAUCUCGAUGUAUCCUUUAAAAAUCAUGAAUAACAUUUAAAUAUUACAAGUUUGCCUUUUCAACUAAAAAGGAUAUUGUUAUUGUGGUUAACAUGAGUUCAGGACACAGUGCUUCUAUAGAUGUAUUUCUUUGGAUACUAUUCCCCACUAAAAGUCAGGAACGACUUCUAUUCUGCCUAUUACAUGUAUAAAAUCUGGAAAGAACUAAUGGUUUAGUUCUGCAAAUUCUAUACGGAAAGGGAAAGAACAAACUAGAUACAAGGAUAACCUUGAUGGAGUAUUAUUUUUUAAUACUAUCAGCCUGUACUCAUGAAAAUACACUACAAGGAAAUAAUCACCUACAAGUUGUCCCUAUAUAAGGUACUCUUUUGGCCAUUCCACUACAAAUUAGUUACUGUUUCAGCAAUUUCAAUACAAAUUAGUGUGUUUUUCCCAAUAUUAUGUACCUAGAACAGUAUACACCCUAUCGAUUUGCAACCAUCCAUUUCUAGGUCUAGAGUUUGAACCAUCUCUUUUUGUUCAUUAUCCCAAAAAAUAUUUACUCAUCGUUGAACAAUAACAUAAUGCCUGCCAUAGUAAGAAUUUGAACAGCAGUGUGCAUGUUCUUGAUGAUGAUCCCAUGAUAAGUUAGCAUUAUCUUUUUUGAAUUGGCAGGUAAGGUCCUACCGACGACAAUAUUUGACUUCAUUGUAUUUUUGUUCCUCUCAUGGGACAUCAUACCAGAGUUGAAACUGAACUAAAGGAGGACGCCAUGGAGCAAGUCGAGUUCGUGCAGCAAGUCAUGGACGAUGCCAAGGAAGGUUGUGUCGUAUAUUGUGGCGUCUGGAUUAGUCAUCAAGGACAACACACUCAUGCUGGUUCAAAAGAUACAUGGAUGAUUAUAUGGGUGCAUGGCAAGUACACUGCAAUGUGAUGAUGAUGAUGAUCUUCCAGUUCAUGAUGAUGAUGAUGGAUGCUUUCAAUUUUAGUUAAGUUGUAGGGAUGUUGUUCCUAUUUGAUGAUGUUCCUCGGUUAUGUUUUAGUUAAGUAUGAGGGAUGUUAAUGAAUGCUUUUAGUUUAAGUUUCUUUGUCGAGAAAAUAUUUAGAUAUGCAUCACAUUUGGAUGCUCUUCCUCCUGUAAUAUCCACUACUGUAAUCCAACAAUUUUAUCCAAUAUAUGAUUUCUUCCU
Long non-coding RNA from Triticum urartu, 2402 nucleotides. RefSeq lists it as uncharacterized. Lineage: Eukaryota; Viridiplantae; Streptophyta; Magnoliopsida; Poales; Poaceae. The record is from RefSeq and is a predicted model, not a curated record.